Molecule: long non-coding RNA, 1548 nt
Organism: Halichondria panicea
Lineage: Eukaryota; Metazoa; Porifera; Demospongiae; Suberitida; Halichondriidae
Exons: 6
Source: RefSeq, a predicted model, not a curated record
AACCAAAAAUCCACGUAUAUGAUUAGCAUCUGUGAGAGGUGCACUUAUUAUACUGAUGUGUGCACAGAACCGUAUGAAAUCUGUUUUGUAAUACACGUGGAUCAGAUGUGUGUUAAAGAUGUGUGUGCAAUAUGUACUUCACUCGUGAUUACCAAUGUGAUGUUCUGCUAUGUAUCACAAGUGAGGAAGGAGCUGCUCUGCUACACAUCUGUGCAUGUGAGCAAAUGAGAGCUUGUGAUUUAAAUUGUUUAUUACUGUAGCUAUUAAGAAGCAGGCAUUAACGCUUGUUGACAGUGUGGAAAGGUGCAGACUCACAUGAAGGUUUGUUAGACAACCAGAGUUUAAUACUUUGGUUAUUUUUAUGUAGGGUAGAACAACUGGCCAGACAGCUAGAUGCCAGACAGCUAGAUGCCAGACAGCUAGACGCCAGACAGCUAGACGUCAGUCAUCUAUAGAGUGGAAACGCAUGGCUGCUUUUAUUGUGACCUCUUAUGUGACUAACUAUGAAUGGCUCGCACUUUCAAAAGUGUUCAGAGUUGCAUAGUGUGUUUCAUUUUGAAAAGCAGACAAGUAUGUAAGGGGUUCUUAUACCUGGUAAGGAAUGCAACCCACACAUAAAAAAAAAUGGAAGUGCACCCGCUGCUCAACCUUGUGGAAAACCUUGCUGUCUCUUCGGUCCCACUGCUGCUUUCAAUUAACACUGAAAGGUGUGAAGCCUUUAAUUUAUAUUGAUGAGGGAGAAGAAAGUUUUUCAAAUAGACGAGCCCUAAGUGGUGAUAUUACUGCUUCGUUUUCAACAGCAUUGAGAUUUGUCUAUUCAAGUGGCUAUUACCAGAGUGAGAUUUUCAACAGUGUGUUGCUGGGUUGACUAAUCUCUACAACCAGCAUGGAAUGGCUUGGUGUCUCAUCACACAUCUUGGCAAGGCUAUAUCAGUCUGGAGCAGCACUGAGAAAGGUAUUGUACAUGCAUGGAUUAAGCUAUAAUUAUGUUUGUUUGCAUGCUAUCUAAAAACAAGGCUCAACCAACAAGUUGAGAGAUAUUGCCAGAUAUUGCCUUGUCUUUCAAUGGCACCAAUCAGAAUGGUGUGAAGUCCAAGGGAUUACGAUAUACAUUCAUCAUAGUCUUGGAUGUUUUGGUGCAAACGUAUAUGGAGCAGUUUAUGGACACAUGUACGAAUUACUUCUUGCUUGAAUAUUGUGUAUGCAGGACUCCUGUUGUUCAUUCUAAUUGCUUAAUUGACAGCAUAUAGUGGUCUGUGCCAUAAUGGAAGAAGAAUCUUCCCCCUUCCACCUCGCCAAAAUGAGAGGCUUUUGACCCUUCGGACUGAACACAUAAACACAUGUUCCUGACAUGUACAUAUGUUACACUGGACAAUUCGACCUACGGGAGCUCGAGUUGGGUUUCACCAUAUACAAUGAGCAAGACUGUCCGUUGUUAACUUAACAUUACUACGCAGCCUUUUACAAUCGAACAAGAACGAGAGCAACUUAGCAUAGUAAUUUUUAUAAGUUGUCCUCUAGCUAUUUUAACCAUCCUUUUCAUACAUG